Molecule: ribosomal RNA, 691 nt
Filed under: uncultured Bacilli bacterium
Lineage: Bacteria; Bacillati; Bacillota; Bacilli
Description: bacterial SSU rRNA
Rfam family: Bacterial small subunit ribosomal RNA
Source: RNAcentral
CAAGUAGAACGCUGAAGGAAGGAGCUUGCUCUUUCUGGAUGAGUUGCGAACGGGUGAGUAACGCGUAGGUAACCUGCCUGGUAGCGGGGGAUAACUAUUGGAAACGAUAGCUAAUACCGCAUAACAGUAGAUGUUGCAUGAUAUCUGCUUGAAAGGGGCAAUUGCUCCACUACCAGAUGGACCUGCGUUGUAUUAGCUAGUUGGUGAGGUAACGGCUCACCAAGGCGACGAUACAUAGCCGACCUGAGAGGGUGAUCGGCCACACUGGGACUGGGACACGGCCCAGACUCCUACGGGAGGCAGCAGUAGGGAAUCUUCGGCAAUGGACGGAAGUCUGACCGAGCAACGCCGCGUGAGUGAAGAAGGUUUUCGGAUCGUAAAGCUCUGUUGUAAGAGGAGAACGAGUGUGAGAGUGGAAAGUUCACACUGUGACGGUAUCUUACCAGAAAGGGACGGCUAACUACGUGCCAGCAGCCGCGGUAAUACGUAGGUCCCGAGCGUUAUCCGGAUUUAUUGGGCGUAAAGCGAGCGCAGGCGGUUAGAUAAGUCUGAAGUUAAAGGCUGUGGCUUAACCAUAGUACGCUUUGGAAACUGUUUAACUUGAGUGCAAGAGGGGAGAGUGGAAUUCCAUGUGUAGCGGUGAAAUGCGUAGAUAUAUGGAGGAACACCGGUGGCGAAAGCGGCUCUCUGG